UUCCUACGGGGGGCAGCAGUGAGGAAUAUUGGUCAAUGGGCGGAAGCCUGAACCAGCCAAGUCGCGUGAGGGAAUAAGGCCCUACGGGUCGUAAACCUCUUUUGCCGGGGAGCAAGGGCCGGGACGAGUCCCGGUCCGGAGAGUACCCGGAGAAAAAGCAUCGGCUAACUCCGUGCCAGCAGCCGCGGUAAUACGGAGGAUGCGAGCGUUAUCCGGAUUUAUUGGGUUUAAAGGGUGCGUAGGUGGUUAAUUAAGUCAGCGGUGAAAGUUUGUGGCUCAACCAUAAAAUUGCCGUUGAAACUGGU
Molecule: ribosomal RNA, 305 nt
Filed under: uncultured bacterium
Lineage: Bacteria
Description: bacterial SSU rRNA
Rfam family: Bacterial small subunit ribosomal RNA
Source: RNAcentral